AAGCCGGCGUCGGAGCGCCGAUCGCAGCGCCGUGGUCCCCACCUCCUCACGUCGUCGGAGUGCGCAACGGAGGCCGCAGGGUCCCCACCUCCUCACGUCGUCGGAGUGGGCAACGGAGGACGCAGGGACCGGUGGCGGCCGGUGUCGCUGGGGCAAUUCCUGCGACCGCCUUCUUAGCGGGAUUGUGUGUGUAGAUAUUUGUUUUGUCAUGUCGACAAGGACAUGUAUCUAUGUCAUACAAAACAAUAAAAAGCAAAGCCAGUCUAGGCAAACAUCAAAGGAACAAACUAACACAUGUUUAAGUAAUCAGUUGGCAAAGAGGCCUUACAUAUGUUUAUGUUUCUCAUGUAACUAGCAAUUAUGAUUAUAUAAAAAUUUCUAUUGUUUAUCUUAUGAUUUUAUUGGCUUGAGUUCCGUAGCAGGGCAUCAUCUACUCCCUCCGUUUCGAAAUAUAAGUCUUUUAAGAUAUUUCAUUAGGGAAAAUACAUACGGCUGUAUAUAGACAUAUUUUAGACUAUAGAUUCACUUAUUUUGCUUCGUACGUAGCCCUUUAAUCAAACCCCUUCAAAGACUUAUAUUUAGAAAUAAGGCGCUGUGCAUCAUCUAGUAGCAGUUGCUGCAGCUCGUCAUCAGCUUCGGAUUAUGCGUGUAAUAUAAACCCAAUAGGUUGAAGCACACUUGCAUGGAGUAAUUAGCUAAGCGCAGGCGUCGAUGCAUGCCCCGCCGGCUUCGCGCUCGUCAUCUUGUUGAUCUCCCAGCUCCAGCUCCUCGUCGGCGGAG
Molecule: long non-coding RNA, 780 nt
Filed under: Hordeum vulgare
Lineage: Eukaryota; Viridiplantae; Streptophyta; Magnoliopsida; Poales; Poaceae
Description: long non-coding RNA (HVUL_LNC012449)
Source: RNAcentral